UAUUAAAAAUUUCAUUCGAUUCUACUAUUAAAAACUGGCAUGGCUAACAGAAUAACUAAAAAGUUACACAUGGCGUGCCAUAUGUACCUCAUUCUGAUAUACUGGGAUCAGUUUUUAACAGUAGAAAUAGAUAGAAUUUUUAACA
This is a non-coding RNA of Gossypium raimondii (Peruvian cotton), 145 nucleotides long. The record is from Rfam. Lineage: Eukaryota; Viridiplantae; Streptophyta; Magnoliopsida; Malvales; Malvaceae.